This is a long non-coding RNA of Brassica rapa (field mustard), 2377 nucleotides long. RefSeq lists it as uncharacterized. Lineage: Eukaryota; Viridiplantae; Streptophyta; Magnoliopsida; Brassicales; Brassicaceae. The record is from RefSeq and is a predicted model, not a curated record.
UUUUCUAAACUAUAAAAAGACUUUAUGAACAAGAGGAUUAGUUAUCAUUGCUGCGGAAAUAUUCAAGAAAUUAAUAGUUGUUUAAGAUUUGAAACUUGAAAGAAGUCCUUAACAAAUCUGUCAUUUUGAAUACUUAAACGGUAGAAACAGAGUUAAUGAUAUAAUUUUACUCGCAGUCAUAUUGAGUUUUUCAUAAUUAAACCAUUUAACUCAAAAAGUUAAAUCAUAAUAAAUUAAGUAAAUAUACAUGAUGGUGAAGUCAAUUAGGUAAUUAAUAUGAACUACUAUUGAAAUUUCAUUAUGUAAGAACACAAUCAAACUAAAGUUAACUAAACUAAAUAUAAAAUUAAAAAAACUAACAUCGCUGAGAAAAUUAAUAGUGACUUUAGUGUUAGGAUUUUAGUAUAUUGUAUAUUGCUAGUAUGUGUAAUUCAAAUAAUAAUAAUAAUAAACAAAUUGGUUUCUCGAUUUGGUUUAACUCGGUUCGGUUCAGAUUGGUUUUGGUUCGGUUUGUUCGGAUUGGGAAAAUCUUCAACCAAACUAUUUGAUAAUAUAUUUUGGUUUGGUUUGGAUCAGUUUCGGUUCGGUUUGAUUCGGUUCGUUUUUUUUUUUGCCCACUCCUAAAUUUCAUUCUAAAAUGGACCACAAAAUAUUUCCACAUAUCAAUGUAUCAGAAAGUAAUAUUCCAUCUUCUCUUCUUGGUCUAUUCAGUUCAGCAAUAAUAUUAACUGAAUAAAAAAUGGUUAACCUGUGAAAUCAUAUUCACAACUUCCGAUCUAUUGCCAAAAAGAGCUCCUUAAAGAUGAUAGUGUCAAGCCUAAUCGAUUCGCCGAAGACGGAAGACGGGAAGAGUCACCGUAAAGUAGGGAUUUACUGGAGAGAUUUUACGGGAACGAGAGAAGAGCUAGUCGACAUUAGAGUCUCCGUAUAACAACCCUUCAAAGAGAUUAAGACGAUCCCCAACACACUUGAGAAAAAAAUUAAGAUUCCCAUGCUUUUUUGUUUGGGAAAUUCAGCAAACUUGGCAACAAACUGGCUUUCUCCUUUACGUCUGACAAUUGCAAUAUGUCGUGUUAACUAAAGGUUAGAAAGAAGCACGAGGCUUGGUUUUUGUUUUCUCUGAAUCCAGUAAUGUAUUCGUUGAGAGAAUCUGUGAUUAUUAUAGGAAGCUCGUUAAGUUCGGAGCUAGUGACAUCAACAACAAGUUAUUUGGAUAAACCAUAGUAAUUUUGGAUAAAUAUUUUGUUAACCGGUUAUCUUUUUGUUGGAAAGUUAGUUAUCUAUUUUACUUAAAUUGUUAGAAUACAGUUGUUGCUUGUAAACUCAUGUUAACUGCGACCAAUAGAUUUGGAGGAACAAACAAAAUGAAUCGUUAUUGGUGUGGGCAGACAAAUUAAAUAAGAUGAUGAGAAGGUCGGAUGAAACUCAUUACUGAAGAACACAAAUGUAGAAAUUCAAUUGUUACCGGUGGAGCAGCCAAAGAUGAUGUUGACUGGAUGUGUGAAGAGGCAAGAGGAGAGCAAUGCAACGUAAAACCUGCAAACCUUCAAGCACCAAAGAAUUUUUUGUACCUAGUGUUGAAAAUGAAAACCGUAUCAGCUACAUGUCCAUUAUUAAUUGUAUACAUUCAAUUGAAAGUUUCAUUUCUAGUUUUCCAAUACCAAAUAAAAUGGGAUAUCAGUUCUAAACUUGAAUGAAUGAAAGACGAGGUUGCUAGUAUCUUCACAGAGAUACUCGCUAAAUUAUGUAUUUACCAUUAUUAAUAAUGUGAGAUUUUAUCCCACUAUCCACAGUCUACCAAUUUAAUAUAUUAUUCCAUCAAUCAAACAUUUAGCUGAUAAUCACGUGUAAAACUAUCCAAAAAGUUAAAUAAAUUAUACGUGUAAUUUCAGAUUUCACUAUAUUCACAAAAGCAGUUACUAAUAGCUAUCCAAAUUGUUAAUAAUCGUCAAUGAUGCACUUAGCUGCAAGUCAUAUUACAUAACAUGAUAUAUAUAACAAUUUUUUUGCUAAUGAAAAACAAUUUUAAUAUAAAAAGUAAAGAUGAGUUAAAAAGCACUCUUAAUUGUCUAUGUAAUCCAUGAUAAAUUUUCCAUGACACCCUAACUUUUACUAUGUGCAUUAAAAAUUGUUUAGUGUUCUAUGUGGACGCCAUUAGGCGAACACACUUGUAUGAGUUGUUCAUAUGGACGAAAUUUGGUGGACAGAUCCUAUAUGAGUUAUCCAGUAAUCUAACAAUUAUAAGGAAACAAAGAUUGAAAACUUAAAAGUGGGAAGAAAAUUUAGAAUGAGCAAACAAAAGUGUUUUACGGAGGAUAAAAGGAUGAGGCUUUGGGGAUCACCGCCAUAUCAUCUGGAACAGAAAAAGAAUCUGAUC